AUUGAACGCUGGCGGCAGGCCUAACACAUGCAAGUCGAGCGGAUGACGGGAGCUUGCUCCUUGAUUCAGCGGCGGACGGGUGAGUAAUGCCUAGGAAUCUGCCUGGUAGUGGGGGACAACGUUUCGAGAGGAACGCUAAUACCGCAUACGUCCUACGGGAGAAAGCAGGGGACCUUCGGGCCUUGCGCUAUCAGAUGAGCCUAGGUCGGAUUAGUUAGUUGGUGGGGUAAUGGUUCACCAAGGUGACGAUCCGUAACUGGUCUGAGAGGAUGAUCAGUCACACUGGAACUGAGACACGGUCCAGACUCCUACGGGAGGCAGCAGUGGGGAAUAUUGGACAAUGGGCGAAAGCCUGAUCCAGCCAUGCCGCGUGUGUGAAGAAGGUCUUCGGAUUGUAAAGCACUUUAAGUUGGGAGGAAGGGCAGUAAGUUAAUACCUUGCUGUUUUGACGUUACCGACAGAAUAAGCACCGGCUAACUCUGUGCCAGCAGCCGCGGUAA
Molecule: ribosomal RNA, 500 nt
Filed under: uncultured bacterium
Lineage: Bacteria
Description: partial 16S ribosomal RNA
Rfam family: Bacterial small subunit ribosomal RNA
Source: RNAcentral